RNAcentral lists this long non-coding RNA (3573 nucleotides) under Canis lupus familiaris (dog). Its description in RNAcentral is "lncRNA (ENSCAFG00845005818.1)". Lineage: Eukaryota; Metazoa; Chordata; Mammalia; Carnivora; Canidae. The record is from RNAcentral.
UAAUGGUGGAUAAGAGCACAAUUUUGGAUGUCAGCAAGCAUAGAUUUCAAUCUUGACUCUAAUACUGAUUAAUUACUUUACCUCUAAUAUCUAUUAGAUAUUAAAGUAGCCUCUGUGAGGCUCUGUUUUCUCAUGUGUAAAAUGGGAAUAAUAACAGCAUCUAGAUCAUAAGGUUGUUAUAAAUAAGAUAAUGAAAAUUAAGUGCUUAACACUGCAUUACAUAUAAUAAGAGUGCAAAAACAUUGCUAUAAUUAUAUUAUCUGUUGUGAACUUUAACACAUGUAAAAACAAUUUAGAACAAUUUGCUUUAUUAGUAGCAAAAAAAAGAUUAAGUUCUGAUUUACCACUGUGCUAUACCUAAAAAGUGUAACUGUGAUGGGCUGGGACUCAGCAAUACAGACAUUUACCAUCAUUUAGAAAACAUAAGUAAAAAUAAAAAAAUCUAAAAUAAAAAAAUCUAAAAUAAAAACGUAAGUAAUCCCUAAAUUGGGAAUAAAAGCGUCAGUACAAGCUCAAGUGCAUUUGCUUGUCAUUAAUGGACAUUAGACUGACAAAGUAACUAAAGAAUUGAAAUGUCCGUUUCUUCAAUUCUUUGUUUGAAUAUUCCUCUGGAUCUAGUAAAGAUUACAAACCAUGGCUAUCAAUUGUAAAUCCUCCUUAAUGAAAUCCAGGAGCUUACAUGAGACUUUGAACCACUUGCAAUUGUUUGGUUUAGAGCUUUCUGCAAACCAAUGGUGCAGGAGGAUUCCCCGCAACAUAACAGCUACAGAAAUGAACUAUCAAUAAAUAACUUGUAGCUGUAAGGAACAAAGGGACUUAUCCAGUUUAGCAUUUUAUUUCAGCUCAACAGCUAUACAAUUUGAAACUGGUGUCACUAAGGUUGAGUUUAUAGGUUGUCAUGACCACAGUUCCAAGCGCUGAGAGUUUUUUAGCACCUCAUGGUAUCACAGCAGGGGUAAUUUUCUUAUCAUUAAUUUUAAUUUCUUUCUCUAUCUCUUUCUCUUUGGCCUACUUUGCAUAGUGACCUACAGAACAUAUCACCCUCUUAUUCUUAUCUAGGUCACAAACGGGAACAGGGAGAGAUGUUAUACUGCAUUUAGUCUGUAGAAAAGAAGAUUUUGUAAUCUUUGGAAGGCAUUGAAAGUCUAGUGUAUCCAAUUUGGUUCCACAAUGAAUAUCUAUCAUUUUAUCUCUAAAAUAAACCAUUUAAGUAAAAUAUAUUAUGUGUGAAUGCUUACUCCCGCUCCCCAUGUGAUAUAAGUCUAGUGGGAAUAUUUUUUUAUAGUGUAACAAAAUAUUUUUGAUUUUUUUCAGAAAUGGCUUACAUAGUAAUUUGUGUCUAGUUUACAUUUGUCAUUCAUCCACAGAAGAACCUGUGACUUAUAAAAGCCAUCACUGUGUCUUAUUUUGUUCCCAUGAGGGGCAAUAUUUAAAAAUGAGCUGGACUGGGUUUCAAUAAAACUUUAUUUAUGGGCUCUGAAAUUUGAUAUCAUAUACUUUUUAUGGUUCACAAAAUAUUCUUUAUUUUUCCAAACAUUUCAAAAUGAAAAAACUUCUUAUCUCAUUUACCACACAAAAACGGUGGUGGGCUGGAUUUGGCACAUGGGCUGGCUCUAAUGUGCUUACUCUUGCACAAGAUGAUUAAAUUAAAAAUGGGCAUACUGUGCUCUUGAUUUAUAGAAACAAAGUGCACAUCUAUGAAUAUUUGUCUUACUUGUGGGAAGAUAACCUGGCCAUUCACUGAAAAGAGCAUUCCCAAACUCUUCCACUAAAGUAGUGCAAUAGGCUAAUGCCUUCUUGACAAAGUAAUAAUCCUUUCACAAAUAGAGCUAAAUCAAUUUUUUUUGUAAGUUACAUAGAUUUUAUCUGAUAGGAAAGAAUCUAUAUUUAUGGUCUAUCUUCUCUAGGGAUACCAAUGUAUAAUUUGUUUUGGUUACAAAGACAAACUCAUAUUCUUGUAUCAUUAAUAAUAUCAAAUUCAUUCAUUAGUCUAAACCAUACUAUUAUGCUUAUGUAACAAAUAACUAUAAGAAUAGAUUUGCUUAAUAGAGAAAACAAAUAUGUUGCAGGAUAUGUGAAUGUUUGUUAAAGGAGCUAACUACCACCUUUAAUUUUGGGGGUGUCAAGGAAGCUCACUUUUGUAAGUAACCAAAUAAUUGUUUUUUCUAAAGUCAAUGAUCAUGGCAAUAAAGUAUAAGUAGAACCCUAACUUCAUUUCUUAAUCUCUUUAGGCCUCAGUUUCUUCAAGGAUUAAAAAACAACAUUGUUUUAGGGCACCUGGGUGGCUCAAUCAGCCAAGCCUCUGACUUCAGCUCAGGUCCUGAUCUCAUGGUCCUGGGAUCAAACCCAGGUCUGGCUCCACAUUCAGUGUAGAGUCUGUUUGUCCCUUUGCCCCUCUCCCUGCUCAUGUUCUUGUUCUCUCUCUAUAUCUCUCAAAUAAAUAAAUAAAAUCUUUAAAAAAACCAACAGUGUCUUUUCAUGGUUUUAUGUAAGUCCUUUGUAAAUGGUGACUUGCUUUAAACAUACAAAAAAUUAUUACUUUAACUAUUUCAAAGUUCAAAAAUUGUGAAUACAUAUAUAUGUAUAUAUGUAUAAUUUUUAAGUAAAAAUAUUGAAUUUAUUCAAAAGUUGGAAUUAGAUAUUAGAAAUAGGAACUUAUUUGAAUGUGACGUAUGUGUAUUUGUGGGGAUAGGACAUAAGAUAGAUGUGUAUAUAUAUGUAAGAGCUUAAAUUUACAUUUUAAACAUAUAGUUUCAAUGAAUUUGCCAACAGGUCUCUUAAACCUAACCUCCUUCCCCAGAAAAAGUUAUAUGAAGUUGUGCUGGGGAAUAUGACCCAGUUUUUCAAAUUAGCAUUCAUGAAGUUUGAUAGUUGAGUCUUUGCAGAACAUAUUGAAAAUGUAGCUCUAAUUGUUUACAACCCCUUCCACUCCUAUGUUUUUUAAUUAUCAGCAUUUAGAAAGCCCCGAGGAUGCAUUUAUGUGAAUAAAGAGAACCUACAAUCACAUGGUGAGGUGACUGCUUUUUCUUUAUUCUGAAGAUUUACUGUCACAAAAACAAGUUUAUAUUUUGUUGCUGAUUUAAGUUUUAAAAAUUAACGAAUAUUCAUUUUUAAAAAGUAGAAACACUGAAAGGUAUAAAGAAGACAAAAAUUCACACAUUGUCCCACUUUUCCAAAUAAAAUCACACUUAAUAUUUUGGUGAAUUUUAGAUUCAUUUACAUUUAAAUUAUUGAAAUUAAAAUUUACAUAAAAUUUGCAUGCCAAUGCUUUUAACUUAAUAUUAUGCCAUAAUUGCUUUCCUAGUGUUGUCAUAUAGGAUGCAAAGGCAUCAUUGUAGCAGUCAGGGCUUGAUCAAAAGAUAAAAGAAGGGAUUUUAUUAUAAGGAUUUGAUCUUAUGCAGCUGCGAAGGCAGGAUAAACAGUCUAUGUGAAGCUGUCCUUUGGUGCAAGAGCCUGAAGUUAGCAGGGCAGGCCAUCUAGGGAGAAGGAGAGCCAGAAAGUAGAGGAGUCUAAUACUCUAGGAACCCAGCAGGGUGAUCUGGGACUGAUAAAACUGGACUGGAACUGAGACUG